AGGCACUGCUAUCAUGGGGCACUGGUAACAAAUAAAUAUCACUUUGGAGGCCAUGUGCAGAUCAGAUUUGGAAGUGACCAAGACUGGAGGCAGGGACACCAGAGUUUUCUGUUAAAAACUGGUCCAUGCAAGAAAAGAUGACUCCUGAAAUAAGACAGUGAUCAUUAGGAUGAAGAGGAAGAGAAGAUUUGAGGAAUACUUAGAACAGAAUUUACUGAAUUUACUGGUUGAAUUGAAUGUGAAGAGGAGAUGAAUAAAGAAGAAAACACCCUCAAAGAGUCCCCUCUGAGCAUACACUAUACAGCAAACAUUGGAUGAAGAAUGUGUAUUUUCAGUUUCAGAAGCUGAACAAAUAUGAAACAAUCUCUGGAAAAUGGAAUUUGAUUUUGAUUCAACAACAGGAGAAUUCUACUGUUUUUCUCCAGCAGCUCCACGAUAAAAGGGAACCCUGAGCAGAACACAUGCACAAACUCAUGCCAUACCCUAAGGGACAAGGUUCCCCACAUCUACUUGGAAAUCUUUGGGAUGCUCAAUGAUUAGCUCUUUGGAACUGAGAGAUGAGAUGAGGCCUGGAAAACUUCCCCCAGUACAGUCAAGUUCCUGUUGACUAAUUCUGUGACCACCAGUGACAGUCUUUGAGUCCGUGAGGCAGAGUUGCGGCAGCACAGGCUUUGCUUGGAGUUGGAUGGUUCGCACCCUGCUUGGCAUGGUUUCUAAGAGACAUCCUCUGAGUGGAUGAGGGGAGAAUCCAGCAGGCCUCUAGUCACACUGCCCCCUGCAUGGAGGAAAGAUAGAUCGAGGUCCCUUUCAAAAGUGCUCCAGAUGAAGAGGCAUUUCCACUUUCAGAAACCCUGAGAAUCCCCGAAAGAACCUCUAACUAGUCAUUGUACUGGAGGCCGCUCCUCUAUUCCGAAUACUGCUGUUCACUGUCCCUCUCAGCAAACUGUACUGCUCCUAUUGCAACCUGAGUUUAGGAAGACUUAAAGCUAUGUCAACUGUUUAUUUCUCUCCUUGGAGAAGUACCUGUGUCAGCUACCCAAGGUUAACGUCUCCACCAGGUUCAUUAUUUUAUAUUUUAAAUAUAUUUUAAGAUCAAAA
Molecule: long non-coding RNA, 1098 nt
Organism: Homo sapiens (human)
Lineage: Eukaryota; Metazoa; Chordata; Mammalia; Primates; Hominidae
Product: long intergenic non-protein coding RNA 158
Source: Ensembl